GACGAACGCUGGCGGCGUGCUUAACACAUGCAAGUCGAACGGAAAGGCCCUGCUUUUGUGGGGUGCUCGAGUGGCGAACGGGUGAGUAACACGUGAGUAACCUGCCCUUGACUUUGGGAUAACUUCAGGAAACUGGGGCUAAUACCGGAUAGGAGCUCCUGCUGCAUGGUGGGGGUUGGAAAGUUUCGGCGGUUGGGGAUGGACUCGCGGCUUAUCAGCUUGUUGGUGGGGUAGUGGCUUACCAAGGCUUUGACGGGUAGCCGGCCUGAGAGGGUGACCGGCCACAUUGGGACUGAGAUACGGCCCAGACUCCUACGGGAGGCAGCAGUGGGGAAUAUUGCACAAUGGGCGGAAGCCUGAUGCAGAAACGCCGCGUGCGGGAUGACGGCCUUCGGGUUGUAAACCGCUUUCGCCUGUGACGAAGCGUGAGUGACGGAAAUGGGUAAAGAAGCACCGGCUAACUACGU
RNAcentral lists this ribosomal RNA (467 nucleotides) under uncultured bacterium. Its description in RNAcentral is "partial 16S ribosomal RNA". It matches the Rfam family "Bacterial small subunit ribosomal RNA", at positions 28 to 506 of the family's 1533-position model. The record is from RNAcentral.